AUAAGUGAAAAAAUCCCUUUACUGAGAGUAUAUUCUACAUUUUUUUCUUCUCAUUUACAAUUACCUAAAUUCAGUGCACUGAAAAAGAAAUGCACGAAGGUUUACGUCGCCAAAGCAAAGGCUCGCCUUUGUAAGAAACCAAAAGUUACGUUCAGAUAUCACAAGUUACAAGUUCAAAUUAUUCAUCAUUUGGUGAUCUUGUUA
Molecule: unclassified non-coding RNA, 204 nt
Filed under: Hevea brasiliensis (rubber tree)
Lineage: Eukaryota; Viridiplantae; Streptophyta; Magnoliopsida; Malpighiales; Euphorbiaceae
Source: RNAcentral